AUUGAACGCUGGCGGCAUGCCUAACACAUGCAAGUCGAACGGAAACGAUGGGAGCUUGCUCCCAGGCGUCGAGUGGCGGACGGGUGAGUAACACAUAGGAAUCUGCCCAGUAGCGGGGGACAACUUGGGGAAACUCAAGCUAAUACCGCAUACGCCCUACGGGGGAAAGCGGGGGACCUUCGGGCCUCGCACUAUUGGAUGAGCCUAUGUCAGAUUAGCUUGUUGGUGGGGUAAUGGCCUACCAAGGCGACGAUCUGUAGCUGGUCUGAGAGGACGAUCAGCCACACUGGGACUGAGACACGGCCCAGACUCCUACGGGAGGCAGCAGUGGGGAAUAUUGCACAAUGGGCGAAAGCCUGAUGCAGCAAUGCCGCGUGUGUGAAGAAGGCCUGCGGGUUGUAAAGCACUUUCAGUGGGGAGGAAACAGUUGCGGGUUAAUAUCCCGCGACCUUGACGUUACCCACAGAAGAAGCACCGGCUAACUCUG
Molecule: ribosomal RNA, 487 nt
Filed under: uncultured Chromatiales bacterium
Lineage: Bacteria; Pseudomonadati; Pseudomonadota; Gammaproteobacteria; Chromatiales
Description: bacterial SSU rRNA
Rfam family: Bacterial small subunit ribosomal RNA
Source: RNAcentral